This 484-nucleotide ribosomal RNA is filed under the name uncultured bacterium. RNAcentral describes it as "partial 16S ribosomal RNA". It matches the Rfam family "Bacterial small subunit ribosomal RNA", at positions 30 to 507 of the family's 1533-position model. The record is from RNAcentral.
AUUGAACGCUAGCGGGAUGCUUUACACAUGCAAGUCGAACGGCAGCGCGGACUUCGGUCUGGCGGCGAGUGGCGAACGGGUGAGUAAUGUAUCGGAACGUGCCCAGUAGCGGGGGAUAACUACGCGAAAGCGUAGCUAAUACCGCAUACGCCCUACGGGGGAAAGCAGGGGAUCGUAAGACCUUGCACUAUUGGAGCGGCCGAUAUCGGAUUAGCUAGUUGGUGAGGUAACGGCUCACCAAGGCGACGAUCCGUAGCUGGUUUGAGAGGACGACCAGCCACACUGGGACUGAGACACGGCCCAGACUCCUACGGGAGGCAGCAGUGGGGAAUUUUGGACAAUGGGGGCAACCCUGAUCCAGCCAUCCCGCGUGUGCGAUGAAGGCCUUCGGGUUGUAAAGCACUUUUGGCAGGAAAGAAACGUCGCGGGCUAAUACCCCGUGGAACUGACGGCACCUGCAGAAUAAGCACCGGCUAACUACGUG